Carlito syrichta (Philippine tarsier) is the source of this 400-nucleotide RNA transcript. It is a transcript of the gene named 40S ribosomal protein S20 pseudogene, with no coding region annotated. The record is from RefSeq and is a predicted model, not a curated record. The transcript has a single exon. NCBI's taxonomy places the organism in Eukaryota, Metazoa, Chordata, Mammalia, Primates, Tarsiidae.
AUGGCUUUUAAAGACACUGGCAAGACACCCAUGGAGCCAGAGGUGGCGAUUAUCCAAAUUAGGAUCACCCUUGCCAGCCGCAACGUGAAAUCUCUGGAUAAAGUGUGAGCUGACCUAAUCAAAGGUGCAAAGGAAAAGAAUUUCAAAGUGAAAGGACCGGUUCGCAUGUCUGCCAAGACUUUGAGAAUCACUACAAGAAAUACUCCUUGUGGUGAAGGUUCCAAGACAUGGCAUCGUUUCCAGAUGAGAAUUCACAAGCCACUCAUUGACUUGCACAGUCCUUCCGAGAUUGUCAAACAGAUUACUUCCAUCAGUAUAGAGCUGGGAGUUGAGGUUGAAGUCACCAUUGCAGAUGCUUAAGUCAAGUAUUUUAUAGAUUGAUUACACUUGUUAAAAAAAA